CCUACGGGAGGCAGCAGUGAGGAAUAUUGGGCAAUGGGCGAAAGCCUGACCCAGCAACGCCGCGUGGAGGAAGACGGCCUUCGGGUUGUAAACUCCUUUUACGGGGGAAGAGGAAGGACGGUACCCCGAGAAUAAGUCACGGCUAACUACGUGCCAGCAGCCGCGGUAAUACGUAGGUGACAAGCGUUAUCCGGAAUUACUGGGCGUAAAGCGCACGCAGGCGGCGCAUUAAGUCUGACGUGAAAUCUCUCGGCUUAACCGGGAGGGGUCGUUGGAGACUGAUGUGCUUGAGGCGAUGAGAGGGGUGUAGAAUUCCCGGUGUAGUGGUGGAAUGCGUAGAUAUCGGGAGGAAUACCAGUGGCGAAAGCGGCACCCUGGCAUUGGCCUGACGCUCAUGUGCGAAGGCGUGGGGAGCGAACGGGAUUAGAUACCCCGGUAGUCCACGCGGUAAACGAUGAGUACUAGGUGUGGGUGGAGUGAAAUCCAUCUGUGCCGAAGCAAACGCGCUAAGUACUCCGCCUGGGGAGUACGGCCGCAAGGCUAAAACUCAAAGGAAUUGACGG
This 563-nucleotide ribosomal RNA is filed under the name uncultured bacterium. Its description in RNAcentral is "bacterial SSU rRNA". It matches the Rfam family "Bacterial small subunit ribosomal RNA", at positions 338 to 916 of the family's 1533-position model. The record is from RNAcentral.